AGAGUUUGAUCCUGGCUCAGGACGAACGCUGGCGGCGUGCUUAACACAUGCAAGUCGAACGGAAAGGCCCUUCGGGGUACUCGAGUGGCGAACGGGUGAGUAACACGUGGGUGAUCUGCCCUGCACUUUGGGAUAAGCCUGGGAAACUGGGUCUAAUACCGAAUAGGACCACGCGCUUCAUGGUGUGUGGUGGAAAGCUUUUGCGGUGUGGGAUGGGCCCGCGGCCUAUCAGCUUGUUGGUGGGGUAAUGGCCUACCAAGGCGACGACGGGUAGCCGGCCUGAGAGGGUGACCGGCCACACUGGGACUGAGAUACGGCCCAGACUCCUACGGGAGGCAGCAGUGGGGAAUAUUGCACAAUGGGCGCAAGCCUGAUGCAGCGACGCCGCGUGAGGGAUGACGGCCUUCGGGUUGUAAACCUCUUUCAAUAGGGACGAAGCGCAAGUGACGGUACCUAUAGAAGAAGCACCGGCCAACUACGUGCCAGCAGCCGCGGUAAUACGUAGGGUGCGAGCGUUGUCCGGAAUUACUGGGCGUAAAGAGCUCGUAGGUGGUUUGUCGCGUUGUUCGUGAAAACUCACAGCUUAACUGUGGGCGUGCGGGCGAUACGGGCAGACUGGAGUACUGUAGGGGAGACUGGAAUUCCUGGUGUAGCGGUGGAAUGCGCAGAUAUCAGGAGGAACACCGGUGGCGAAGGCGGGUCUCUGGGCAGUAACUGACGCUGAGGAGCGAAAGCGUGGGGAGCGAACAGGAUUAGAUACCCUGGUAGUCCAA
This 773-nucleotide ribosomal RNA is filed under the name uncultured bacterium. RNAcentral describes it as "bacterial SSU rRNA". It matches the Rfam family "Bacterial small subunit ribosomal RNA", at positions 8 to 798 of the family's 1533-position model. The record is from RNAcentral.